Molecule: ribosomal RNA, 483 nt
Filed under: uncultured Pseudomonas sp.
Lineage: Bacteria; Pseudomonadati; Pseudomonadota; Gammaproteobacteria; Pseudomonadales; Pseudomonadaceae
Description: bacterial SSU rRNA
Rfam family: Bacterial small subunit ribosomal RNA
Source: RNAcentral
CCUGGCUCAGAUUGAACGCUGGCGGCAGGCCUAACACAUGCAAGUCGAGCGGUAGAGAGAAGCUUGCUUCUCUUGAGAGCGGCGGACGGGUGAGUAAUGCCUAGGAAUCUGCCUGGUAGUGGGGGAUAACGUUCGGAAACGGACGCUAAUACCGCAUACGUCCUACGGGAGAAAGCAGGGGACCUUCGGGCCUUGCGCUAUCAGAUGAGCCUAGGUCGGAUUAGCUAGUUGGUGAGGUAAUGGCUCACCAAGGCGACGAUCCGUAACUGGUCUGAGAGGAUGAUCAGUCACACUGGAACUGAGACACGGUCCAGACUCCUACGGGAGGCAGCAGUGGGGAAUAUUGGACAAUGGGCGAAAGCCUGAUCCAGCCAUGCCGCGUGUGUGAAGAAGGUCUUCGGAUUGUAAAGCACUUUAAGUUGGGAGGAAGGGCAGUUACCUAAUACGUGAUUGUUUUGACGUUACCGACAGAAUAAGCACCGG